RNA transcript from Anopheles funestus (African malaria mosquito), 1622 nucleotides. RefSeq lists it as uncharacterized. NCBI's taxonomy places the organism in Eukaryota, Metazoa, Arthropoda, Insecta, Diptera, Culicidae. The transcript is spliced from 3 exons. The record is from RefSeq and is a predicted model, not a curated record.
CGGGUUUUGUAUUACUCUUUGCAGUGUAAAACAUGCCGCUUCAAGAUCAAGAUUUUUUUUACUGCAUGCGGGGGUUAUGAUUUGGACAAACUUCUUAUUUUACAAAUGUAUCCGCCACAUGUUGUUUCUCUGGUGAGCGAAACAGUGAGAAUGAGAGCAAAUGAAGUUUCCCUCACGAUCGUACGGCUAGUGGCGCCUGCACAGAUUUUCGCCGAGAAAGAGGACACCGGGAUUUAUUUUUAAGUAAUUCGACUAGCGCACUCAUCCCGAUCGGUCACGAUCACCGUGUAGUCGUGUGUUGGACGCGAGGUAGCACACAUUUGUUUGAGUUUUUACCGCGAAACGUCCGAGAUCGUGUGAAACGAAAUUGAAACAAACUUCGAGAGGAAAACCGGGUACAAGCUUGGAAAACGAUUUGUUCACGCCGGAAAGGGUCGCGUCCGUGUCUGGUUGAAGUGUGCCGCAAGAUUGUCGGUGAAGUUAAUUUUUGUACAAUUUAUGAUCUCGCGCUCUCCGUGCGUAGCCGAUGCACGCAUUUGUUCGACAUUACGGAAUAUAGGUGAAUGUGAACCGAGCUGGAGAAUAAGUGACGAUUUACGAUUUCACAUUAAGAAUAAUACGGUGAAUCAGAAUGAGUAAUAUGCAACCAGAAGAGUACGAAAAUACAGGCUGGCUGUCGUACUUUAGCCGGCACAAAACGACUUAUACAGCGUCCGAUAUUCACAAGAUAAGCAACGAGCUAAACAAUGUGCGCAAAAACUUGACCGCCACACAGUACGCGUACGGUGAGCUAAGCAGUGAACUUAAGGCGCUAAAAAGCCUACAGGAACAGCAACGCUUGGUGGACGAGUACGAACAACGUGCUGCGGCCAGCGGCAAAGGAUCGAAAUCUACCGAAAAGCGAUUGAAAGAGCAGGCAGAUGAAAUCAAAAGUCUCAAGAGCGAUCUGGCCAGCUGUCGUAACGAGCUGUCCAAGCAGAUCGCGGCAAUGAAGGUAGCGUUCAGUGAGCAAAGCAAGAAAAAGGGCCUGGCCGGGAGUGGCAAAUUUUCUGCCGGAAGCACCGGCAAUAAUGCGAUGACCUUGAGCCUGGAAAGCCGCAUCAUCGCGGCCGAGGUGCAGCUUGAACAGCUGAGUAACGGACGGACGACGGAACGGCUGAGUGCCUUGGAGCAGAAACUAGGUCAGCAGGAAGAGAGAAGCGGUGCCGGUGACUACGAAGCACGGUUGAACGCUCUUGAGCGUGACUUUACGCAGAAAUUGCAGGACUUAACUGAUCUCGUGGUGGAACUGCAGCGGAAGCUAGCCAAGAGCGAAGCCAAACAGGUGGAAAUGGUGCAACGGUUGUCUGCGGCCCAAACUACACUGUAUGAACAGCUGGAACAUCGAUACGACGAACAAUGUGGGAAGCUGCGAGAACUCCAAGUUCGUGUGAGCCAUCUUGGACAAAAUGAUGAUAUUGAUUCAACAUUUGUUUGAGUGAGAGAAAAAACGAAAUGUCUUACUAAUUACAACUUCGUUGGCCAUCUUCUUAUCGAAUAUGCCUCUAUCGUUGACUAGUGACUUGGAAAGCUUUGCUGCCAACGAAGCGCUUGCCCAUCAUCAUCAUCAUCACGACGAGCUA